This 79-nucleotide non-coding RNA is filed under the name uncultured Lachnoclostridium sp. Its description in RNAcentral is "Cyclic di-GMP-I riboswitch". It matches the Rfam family "c-di-GMP-I riboswitch aptamer". Rfam says of the family: GEMM was predicted in a large-scale screen for bacterial structured RNA regulatory elements. Genes associated with GEMM are involved in a diverse array of functions, including chemotaxis regulation, signal transduction, secretion and chitin. The record is from RNAcentral. Lineage: Bacteria; Bacillati; Bacillota; Clostridia; Lachnospirales; Lachnospiraceae.
CUAAAAUAGCAAACUUAUCGAAAGGUAAGGACGCAAAACCACGAAUCUAAGGUUAGACACUAUGAUAGUCGGGUUGCCG